Long non-coding RNA from Helianthus annuus (common sunflower), 823 nucleotides. RefSeq lists it as uncharacterized. The record is from RefSeq and is a predicted model, not a curated record. The transcript is spliced from 3 exons. NCBI's taxonomy places the organism in Eukaryota, Viridiplantae, Streptophyta, Magnoliopsida, Asterales, Asteraceae.
ACUAAAAGACGGGUAACGUACCGUUAUUAGUAAAAAUAACCCGGCAAAUAUUUGGAUUUAAAUAAGAAAUCCUAAUAUUAAAUAAAAACGAAUCAAAGUUUUAAGUAAUUAAGUUUAUAAAAGGCCCGAUUUAACGGGACUUAAAGUAAAAGGGGUUACGACUUCCCGAACCUACUAAGCUAACUAGGAAUAAUUCUAACCUAGUUAGAUAGUGACUUAUGAGUGGGUUAAAACACUUAAAUUAUGAACUAAGGAAAAUGAAGGGGCCAAAGAUGUUAAAAUCGAAACUUAUGUUGCUAAUUUAAUUAAAACAAAAACCAAACACCCCAUUUGGGGAUGUCUGGUCGUACAAAGAAGCAGGAGGCGAUGGGUUUCUUCAAACCCUAAAAUCCUUACUAAAACUCUCAAAUUGGAGGUGCAAAUCUGGUCCAAAACGAAAAUCGAGCAUAGAUUACCGAUCCCCAUUGCAAGGGGGUUGUAAGUUUGACUCUUGACAAGCUAGAUGGAGGCUUGGAAUGAAGCGGGUCAAACGGAGCAAGUAUGAAAAGGAAAGCGUAAUUUGGAUGCGAGUCUUAGGUACUCAAGGAUUAUGGGUGACGAUCAAGCAACUUUUGAAGGACCGAACACAUACUCUUGAAGCUUCCGCAUAAAUCAACUCGGUUUAAACAAUGUUUAUGAUAUAAACUGUUUGCUAAACAACUUUUGAAAUGUUUAAACGACGUACUCAAUUAUGUUAUGUUGUAUUAUUUUAAAAUUGUAAAGUUUAAACAAACCCGUAUUUUUACAAAGUAUAUGUAGUCAUAAUUACAUGUUGUUUGUCGUA